Molecule: ribosomal RNA, 484 nt
Filed under: uncultured bacterium
Lineage: Bacteria
Description: partial 16S ribosomal RNA
Rfam family: Bacterial small subunit ribosomal RNA
Source: RNAcentral
AUUGAACGCUGGCGGCAGGCCUAACACAUGCAAGUCGAGCGGAUGAAGGGAGCUUGCUCCUGGAUUCAGCGGCGGACGGGUGAGUAAUGCCUAGGAAUCUGCCUGGUAGUGGGGGAUAACGUCCUGAAACGGGCGCUAAUACCGCAUACGUCCUGAGGGAGAAAGUGGGGGAUCUUCGGACCUCACGCUAUCAGAUGAGCCUAGGUCGGAUUAGCUAGUUGGUGGGGUAAAGGCCUACCAAGGCGACGAUCCGUAACUGGUCUGAGAGGAUGAUCAGUCACACUGGAACUGAGACACGGUCCAGACUCCUAAGGGAGGCAGCAGUGGGGAAUAUUGGACAAUGGGCGAAAGCCUGAUCCAGCCAUGCCGCGUGUGUGAAGAAGGUCUUCGGAUUGUAAAGCACGUUAAGUUGGGAGGAAGGGCAGUAAGUUAAUACCUUGCUGGUUUGACGUUACCAACAGAAUAAGCACCGGCUAACUUCGUG